RNAcentral lists this ribosomal RNA (730 nucleotides) under uncultured bacterium. Its description in RNAcentral is "bacterial SSU rRNA". It matches the Rfam family "Bacterial small subunit ribosomal RNA", at positions 771 to 1501 of the family's 1533-position model. The record is from RNAcentral.
AACAGGAUUAGAUACCCUGGUAGUCCACGCCGUAAACGAUGUCGACUUGGAGGUUGUGCCCUUGAGGCGUGGCUUCCGGAGCUAACGCGUUAAGUCGACCGCCUGGGGAGUACGGCCGCAAGGUUAAAACUCAAAUGAAUUGACGGGGGCCCGCACAAGCGGUGGAGCAUGUGGUUUAAUUCGAUGCAACGCGAAGAACCUUACCUGGUCUUGACAUCCACGGAAGUUUUCAGAGAUGAGAAUGUGCCUUCGGGAACCGUGAGACAGGUGCUGCAUGGCUGUCGUCAGCUCGUGUUGUGAAAUGUUGGGUUAAGUCCCGCAACGAGCGCAACCCUUAUCCUUUGUUGCCAGCGGUCCGGCCGGGAACUCAAAGGAGACUGCCAGUGAUAAACUGGAGGAAGGUGGGGAUGACGUCAAGUCAUCAUGGCCCUUACGACCAGGGCUACACACGUGCUACAAUGGCGCAUACAAAGAGAAGCGACCUCGCGAGAGCAAGCGGACCUCAUAAAGUGCGUCGUAGUCCGGAUUGGAGUCUGCAACUCGACUCCAUGAAGUCGGAAUCGCUAGUAAUCGUGGAUCAGAAUGCCACGGUGAAUACGUUCCCGGGCCUUGUACACACCGCCCGCCACACCAUGGGAGUGGGUUGCAAAAGAAGUAGGUAGCUUAACCUUCGGGAGGGCGCUUACCACUUUGUGAUUCAUGACUGGGGUGAAGUCGUAACAAGGUAACC